This 4146-nucleotide long non-coding RNA is filed under the name Xyrichtys novacula (pearly razorfish). The record is from RNAcentral. Lineage: Eukaryota; Metazoa; Chordata; Actinopteri; Labriformes; Labridae.
AUUUGACUUCGACAGGCCCAGAUCAGAUUUUAAUUAAAAGUUUUUGCCUUAUUCACAUACAUAAGAAUUUUUCAUAAUAGUGAUAGAACAUCUCUGCCAGUAAAAAAGAAAAUGUGUUAAGACUCUGACGAUGAAAAGCCCAAACUGACAAAAUGAUUCAAAAAUAUAAGAUAAAAAAGGAAAACUUUGGGUCAAAAAUAAAAGUGAUAAAAAGUCCAGAUUAUGUGGUUAUCAAUUCAAAUUGUGGCAUAAAAACACAUAAAUUAGAGUCAAAAUUGAAACUAUAAAGUCUGAAUUGUUUAAGUAAAGGUCAUUAUUACAGGAAGGCAAGUCAUAACUUUUCUCUUAAAGUCAAAAUUCCCAGAUGAGGAAUUUAAAUUACGUAAUAAAAAGUGAGAGUCAUAAAAGAGUCAUGACAGUGAAAUGAAAAGGUAUUAUUCUGGGAUUAAAAACCCAAAUCAUGCAAUGGCUUGUCUUGGUCUUAAAAUAAAAGUCUGAAGGUUUUGAUAAAAUGACGAGAUUAAAAGAUAGAAGAUCUAGAAUAUAUAACAAUAAUUGAAACAAUAACCUAAAAAUAAUGAAAACUUUGAUGUUGAAAGUCAAGAAUAUGUGAAAAAAGUCGAAUGAUGAGAUAGUACAUUGUAUUUAUGACAGAGAAAGAAAAAUUACACUACACAGAAGUCACGUUUCAAAAAAGUGAAAUUGCAAAAUGACUUACGAGAUACAACUCAUAAAACAAAAUUACAAGCUUGUUAUUAAACUAUGAAAUCAACCCCAGAAAUUUGGGGCUAAAGUCAGAUUUAAAAGAGAUGGGGGACCACUGGAUGGAUGGCGCCCCAUGUACAGAGGUCAUAGUCCUCGAGUGGGCAGCCUGGGUUCAAGUUCGACUUUCAGCUACUUUCCUACUCUCCCCAUACCCUUCUCUAUCCAUAUCUGCCCUUUCAAAAGUAGUAAUAAGGCAAAAGGUUAUUGAAAAGCUGAGUUAAAUCUGAAUUACUGAUGAAUUUUAGAUACUGAUUUAAAAAUCUUGAGCAUCAUUAACAUGGCUUUACAGUGUUCAGAGUCGUAAAUGCUCUCUAAAGCUAAAACACGUCUUCAUUUGGCUCUAAAAACCUUUUUGUUCUUUUGUUUCUAUAAAAAGAUCCUUACUCUUGUGUUGAUAUCCGACGACUGCAGCUUCAUUUGAAGAAAAGUCUUUCAUGACCCCCAGAGGAGAAAUUCAGAUGAAACAGCAACACAAGGACAGAAAUAACUUCUGAAAAAGUACUAAAUACAAACUGCGCAAUGACUCUCUUAGUGACACCUCAGCUGAUCUCAUAGCUUCUCUAUGGGAUUCAGGUCUGGAAAAAGAGCACGCCUCUCCAUUUGAGGUACCCCAGCCUCCAGCCGCUGUCCCCUGACGAUACAACCUGGGGCACUGUCAUCCAUGAAGAUGAAAUCAGGCCUGUGUUGCUCAUGCAGAGGCACAGUGACUGGACAAAUGAUGUUGUUCAGGUAGUAUACGCUUGUCAAGGUGUUAGGGCAGUUUGGUAUUAACUCGAUACACCUGCCCAGACUGUAACACCACCACCUCCAAAAGGCUCGUCUGGUGACAACAGUGGCUGAUGCAUGGCGUUCUUGACAUCUCCAACGUUGUGAUGGACAUCAUUUCAUCUUUCAUGAGAGAACAGCGCUGAGGCCCACCUGUUCCUCGUCCAGUGUCCAUGCAAGACGAUGAUGUUUGUGCCUAAUGGUGUGGUCAGGUACCCUUGCAGGUCGUCUAGCAUGCAGACCAUGCUGAUGUAAGCAGUUUUGAAUGGUCUGACGUGACACUUGGGUGCCUCUCACCCCCAUUAAACAAGCCUGGAGUUGAGUGGCAUUCAUCAUCUGGCUCUGCUGGGCACUGUUCACCAUGAAGCAGUUAUCAGCUUGGGAUGUGGACAGAGGACAUCCACCUUUACACCAUUCUGUGACUCUUCCAGUCUCUCUGUGUCUCGUUUGCAACCUGCUGAUGACACUUAGUUCAGAGGCAACUUCCCCCUGAGAAGCCUCACAGUGGCCAGGUACUGCUGACUGAUUGUCAGGGCUCCAUUUUUUAUGUGUCACAUACUGGAAGAGUAUUCAGAGGACCCUUUAUGCAAAUCAUGGAAAUCCAGGAGACAGGUUUAGAGUAAGUUUCCAUUCAAAGAGCAAGCAGAGUGCACUUGUUUAUAUGUUAAGUACUGGAAGAGUAUCCAGAGGGCACUUUUUAUAUAGGAAAGGGGCAUCUAGAGGGAACAUCAAACUCUUCCUCUGUCCGUCAUAAAGCUGUCUGUUUCUGACUGGACUUCAUUCUCAGCCAGCCGUCUCAGUGUGACUUUAGUGUCACACUCUUUUUUCACGGUCCUACAUGAAGCCCUGUAGAUCUCAUGAGUAUCUUUAGUUCCUCCUGAAGCUCCAGAUCACUUUUCUUAAAACCAGGUGAGUGAAUCAGGUGGUCCUGUUCUCUGGAUGGAGGUCUGGGAGGUCAACCAGAGGGUACUUUAAAUAAGGGGCAGCUACUUUCUCUCAGUUUUCUACAUAGUUUCAGUGUAAUUUAAACAGCAGAUCAUCCAAACGUGGUGUAAAACAGAAAAAAAAGUAUAAGAUAAAUAUAAUGAUAAUGUGUGGUAAGACUCACUUCAUAAAACACAGUAUUUUGGUAAUAGAACAUAUAUAUCUGGUAAAAAAGGCUUUUAGAAUCAGUAUAUUUCUUUGAUUUGAUGUAAAUAACAGACCAAACCUUAGUGGUUUCACAUUCCUCUUUCCUCUGCCUCUUGAUACAGCAGUUCAGAGCAGGUUAUUUGUCAUUACACCAUGUUCAAAGAGAUCAGGCUGACACAAAAACAGUAAAACACAACCUGUACUCACAGCUUUACACCAGCAGAGGGCAGCAUUGUUGAUGCAGCGUCACCACCUCGUCUAGUCUAGUCACCAGAUUUUGAAGUGAGGUUUAAAUUUUUAAAUCAGACACUAAAAAAAACUCCCAAGAUAAUAAAACAUGUUUGGACUACCUUAUUAACACUUCCCAGACUUCUUCUUUAAUUAGUUUUAGUCUUCCUCAUUUGUUUUUUAAAAGUUCUUGCUUGUGCUUACAUAGACGUCUGUGAAACAGGUCAGGGGACUACAGCACCUUUGAGUUUAGAGCCGGAUCGAGUGAAUGUCUUUGGGAAUUUCAUAAUGGAAGGGCAACCAGGGCUUACUUUUUUAUGGGUUAGAAGAACAUCCAGAUGGCACUUUUCACUUUUAUAUAUUGAAAGGGCAUCCGUUUUUUAUGCCUUGCAUCCAGAAGACAGGUCUACAUGAAUUUUCCACUCAAUGGGAGGGCAGAGUGCACUGUUUAUGAGUAAGGAACUGGAAGUGUGUUGAGAGGGCACUAGUUCACUUUAUUUUUACAUAGAAAGAGCAUGUAGAAAAACUUUUUUCCUUUUAUUUUCUAGGUACUAGAAGGGAUCAAGGAACUUAUUUUGGUAUUUUCUGCUUAAAGACUUAAACUACUACAACAAGAAAACCUUUUAGUUAUGUCAAUUCAAAAUGAGACAGCAGGUAAAAAAUCUCUGAUGUUUUUAAUCACAGUGGAGUGUUUUCACUCUGCAGCAGUAAAGUUCCUGAACUCCUCCGAUCCUGCUCCAAUAAAAACUGAACCUGGUCGUCUUUGUGUUCAUGAACAGGGUUUUUGUUUGCUCGCCCAUCCUCCCUCAGCGCCAACACUCUGAGUAUAUUAGGCAUCGUAAAAUAUAAAAAAAGAACAACCACCCCCCUCUUCGUCUGGGCCCGAGCCCCCAGUUUGCUUUCAGCUGCAAAACAAAAACACACAGAGGGCGAGCAAGCCACGAGCAGACAGAGGAGAGAGAGAUGUUUUGCUUCUGGGUGAACUAGAGGAGGAGGAGGAGGGAGAGGCUGGCUGGGUCUGUUUGCCGGCUUCGUUUUGUAGCUGGUUGCUGGGUGACGGCUGUGUGUGUGUGUGUGUGUGUGUGUGUGUGUGUGUGUGUGUGUGUGUGUGUGUGUGUGUGUGUGUGUGUGUGACAGCUGUGGAGGCCCCAUCCUUUCACCCCGCCUCUGCUGCGCCUGCUGCAGGAGGAGUACGGGGAAGGAAGGGGGGAGGUCAUAAUGAGUCCAUGUGUGAAGUUCAGUCUCAGUCAGCAGCUG